UACAGGGGGUGCAAGCGUUGCUCGGAAUCACUGGGCGUAAAGCGAGCGCAGGCGGCCGAUUAGUCAGAGGUGAAAGCCCGGGGCUCAACCCCGGAAUGGCCUUUGAAACUGGUAGGCUUGAAUGCAGGAGAGGGUCGCGGGAAUUCUUGGUGUAGAGGUGAAAUUCGUAGAUAUCAGGAAGAACACCAGUGGCGAAAGCGGCGCCUGGCCUGACAUUGACGCUCAUGCUCGAGAGCGUGGGGAGCAAACAGG
This 252-nucleotide ribosomal RNA is filed under the name uncultured bacterium. Its description in RNAcentral is "partial 16S ribosomal RNA". It matches the Rfam family "Bacterial small subunit ribosomal RNA", at positions 524 to 776 of the family's 1533-position model. The record is from RNAcentral.